GACAGAGGGUGCAAACGUUGUUCGGAAUUACUGGGCGUAAAGCGCGUGUAGGCGGCCCUGCAAGUCGGAUGUGAAAUCCCACGGCUCAACCGUGGAAGUGCAUUCGAAACUGCAGGGCUAGAGUCCUGGAGAGGAAGGUGGAAUGCUUGGUAUAGAGGUGAAAUUCGUAGAUAUCAAGCGGAACACCGGUGGCGAAGGCGGCCUUCUGGACAGUGACUGACGCUGAGACGCGAAAGCGUGGGGAGCAAACAGG
This 253-nucleotide ribosomal RNA is filed under the name uncultured bacterium. RNAcentral's name for it is "partial 16S ribosomal RNA". It matches the Rfam family "Bacterial small subunit ribosomal RNA", at positions 524 to 776 of the family's 1533-position model. The record is from RNAcentral.